Molecule: ribosomal RNA, 253 nt
Filed under: uncultured bacterium
Lineage: Bacteria
Description: partial 16S ribosomal RNA
Rfam family: Bacterial small subunit ribosomal RNA
Source: RNAcentral
UACGAAGGGGGCUAGCGUUGUUCGGAAUCACUGGGCGUAAAGCGCAUGCAGGCGGAUUGUUAAGUCGGGGGUGAAAUCCCAGGGCUCAACCCUGGAACUGCCUUCGAUACUGGCAAUCUUGAGGCCGGGAGAGGUGAGUGGAACUGCGAGUGUAGAGGUGAAAUUCGUAGAUAUUCGCAAGAACACCAGUGGCGAAGGCGGCUCACUGGCCCGGUACUGACGCUGAGGUGCGAAAGCGUGGGGAGCAAACAGG